This 72-nucleotide transfer RNA is filed under the name Ictidomys tridecemlineatus (thirteen-lined ground squirrel). RNAcentral describes it as "Spermophilus tridecemlineatus (thirteen-lined ground squirrel) tRNA". It matches the Rfam family "tRNA". Rfam says of the family: Transfer RNA (tRNA) molecules are approximately 80 nucleotides in length. Their secondary structure includes four short double-helical elements and three loops (D, anti-codon, and T loops). The record is from Rfam by way of RNAcentral. Lineage: Eukaryota; Metazoa; Chordata; Mammalia; Rodentia; Sciuridae.
UGGGAUGUGGCUCAAGUGGUAGCGCACCCGCCUAGCAUGCGUGCGGCCUGGGUUCGAUCCUCAGCACCACAU